This 467-nucleotide ribosomal RNA is filed under the name uncultured bacterium. RNAcentral's name for it is "bacterial SSU rRNA". It matches the Rfam family "Bacterial small subunit ribosomal RNA", at positions 28 to 524 of the family's 1533-position model. The record is from RNAcentral.
GAUGAACGCUGGCGGAGUGCCUAACACAUGCAAGUCGAGCGGCAGCGCGAGUAGUUUACUACUUGGCGGCGAGCGGCGGACGGCUGAGUAACGCGUGGGAACAUGCCCCAAAGUGAGGAAUAACUGCCCGAAAGGGUAGCUAAUGCCGCAUACGAUCUUCGGAUUAAAGGAUUUAUCCGCUUUGGGAGUGGCCUGCGUACGAUUAGAUAGUUGGUGAGGUAAUGGCUCACCAAGUCUACGAUCGUUAACUGGUUUGAGAGGAUGAUCAGUCAGUCUGGAACUGAGACACGGUCCAGACUCCUACGGGAGGCAGCAGUGAGGAAUCUUCCACAAUGGACGAAAGUCUGAUGGAGCAACUCCGCGUGCAGGAUGAAGGCCUUCGGGUCGUAAACUGCUUUAUGAGUGAGAAUAUGACGGUAACUCAUGAAUAAGGGUCGGCGUAACUGCGUGCCAGCAGCCGCGGUAAU